GGAGUUCACUGGGGACUCUGCUUCCACUCCUCCUCUUAACCAGGAAUCUAGAGAAUGACAUGAAUUAUUGCUUUGGAAGAAAACCUCACAUCUCCACAAGACCUUGCUUCCCAAAUAAGACAUGUCAGAAGAUGCUGAUAAUCCUCACUUCUGCCUUACAAAUCGCUCAUAGGUGCAUCUGCAGGAUCUUACUUGGAUCCAGAGUGCUAGCUGCAAAAGCUUCUGGGAAUUGUACACUUAACUCUGAAGUUUUAUCUUUAAUAUAGGAAGUGCGGCGUAUGAUGCUGUCCUUGACAGAAAUGUGGCCAUUAAGAAGCUCAGCAGACCCUUUCAGAACCAAACACAUGCCAAGAGAGCGUACCGGGAGCUGGUCCUCAUGAAGUGUGUGAACCAUAAAAACAUUAUUAGUUUAUUAAAUGUCUUCACACCCCAGAAAACGCUGGAGGAGUUCCAAGAUGUUUACUUAGUAAUGGAACUGAUGGAUGCCAACUUAUGUCAAGUGAUUCAGAUGGAAUUAGACCAUGAGCGAAUGUCUUACCUGCUGUACCAAAUGUUGUGUGGCAUUAAGCACCUCCAUUCUGCUGGAAUUAUUCACAGGGAUUUAAAACCAAGUAACAUUGUAGUCAAGUCUGAUUGCACAUUGAAAAUCCUGGACUUUGGACUGGCCAGGACAGCAGGCACAAGCUUCAUGAUGACUCCAUAUGUGGUGACACGUUAUUACAGAGCCCCUGAGGUCAUCCUGGGGAUGGGCUACAAGGAGAACGUGGAUAUAUGGUCUGUGGGAUGCAUUAUGGGAGAAAUGGUUCGCCACAAAAUCCUCUUUCCAGGAAGGGACUGUAUCCUUGUACCUUUUGCUACAGCUUUACCUGUUUUGUUCUCUCUCCCUUUUAAACACAUAAUGAUUUUACCAGGAGAGUAAAGAUAGAAGCAAAAAGUUGGGACUUCCUACCAACAACUGAGCAGUCAGAUAACCUCUCAAACUAUGAAUAUCAGACACAAGGCUGAGGGCUGAUUCAAGUUAUUUAUCGGCAGAAGAAUUACACAAUUUUAAGCA
Molecule: small RNA, 1054 nt
Filed under: Pan troglodytes (chimpanzee)
Lineage: Eukaryota; Metazoa; Chordata; Mammalia; Primates; Hominidae
Description: processed transcript
Source: RNAcentral